UUGACCUCGGAUCAGGUAGGGAUACCCGCUGAACUUAAGCAUAUCAAUAAGCGGAGGAAAAGAAACCAACAGGGAUUGCCCCAGUAACGGCG
RNAcentral lists this ribosomal RNA (92 nucleotides) under Trichoglossum octopartitum. Its description in RNAcentral is "partial 28S ribosomal RNA". It matches the Rfam family "Eukaryotic large subunit ribosomal RNA", at positions 1 to 91 of the family's 3401-position model. Lineage: Eukaryota; Fungi; Ascomycota; Geoglossomycetes; Geoglossales; Geoglossaceae. The record is from RNAcentral.